RNAcentral lists this ribosomal RNA (383 nucleotides) under uncultured Streptococcus sp. RNAcentral's name for it is "bacterial SSU rRNA". It matches the Rfam family "Bacterial small subunit ribosomal RNA", at positions 997 to 1382 of the family's 1533-position model. Lineage: Bacteria; Bacillati; Bacillota; Bacilli; Lactobacillales; Streptococcaceae. The record is from RNAcentral.
UUUCUAGAGAUAGAGAGUUACUUCGGUACAUCGGUGACAGGUGGUGCAUGGUUGUCGUCAGCUCGUGUCGUGAGAUGUUGGGUUAAGUCCCGCAACGAGCGCAACCCCUAUUGUUAGUUGCCAUCAUUCAGUUGGGCACUCUAGCGAGACUGCCGGUAAUAAACCGGAGGAAGGUGGGGAUGACGUCAAAUCAUCAUGCCCCUUAUGACCUGGGCUACACACGUGCUACAAUGGUUGGUACAACGAGUUGCGAGUCGGUGACGGCGAGCUAAUCUCUUAAAGCCAAUCUCAGUUCGGAUUGUAGGCUGCAACUCGCCUACAUGAAGUCGGAAUCGCUAGUAAUCGCGGAUCAGCACGCCGCGGUGAAUACGUUCCCGGGCCUU